UACUAGGCAAGUGACCAGUGCUGAGUCCU
Molecule: non-coding RNA, 29 nt
Filed under: Rattus norvegicus (Norway rat)
Lineage: Eukaryota; Metazoa; Chordata; Mammalia; Rodentia; Muridae
Source: RNAcentral